Molecule: ribosomal RNA, 111 nt
Organism: Mustela putorius furo (domestic ferret)
Lineage: Eukaryota; Metazoa; Chordata; Mammalia; Carnivora; Mustelidae
Source: Ensembl
GUCUACGGCCAUACCACCCUGAACGCGCCCGAUCUCGUCUGAUCUCGGAAGCUAAGCAGGGUCGGGCCUGGUUAGUACUUGGAUGGGAGAAAAAGCAAGGCAUCAAACACG